AGAUCUCCCCGGCCUGCCCAGAGGGAUUCUGAUAGCCGAGGGCAAUGCACCUGGCAGCGGAGCAUUGCGUUUGCGACAGUCCACCUUCUUCCUGGAACCACCCCCCACAAGUGUGACCAGCUCAAGCCAGGACAG
This 135-nucleotide unclassified non-coding RNA is filed under the name Homo sapiens (human). RNAcentral describes it as "septin 9 (ENSG00000282302.4)". Lineage: Eukaryota; Metazoa; Chordata; Mammalia; Primates; Hominidae. The record is from RNAcentral.